GAGCUUUACUGUAGCCUGAUAUUGAAAUUCGGCACAGCUUGUACAGGAUAGGUAGGAGCCUUUGAAACGUGAGCGCUAGCUUACGUGGAGGCGCUGGUGGGAUACUACCCUAGCUGUGUUGGCUUUCUAACCCGCACCACUUAUCGUGGUGGGAGACAGUGUCAAGCGGGCAGUUUGACUGGGGCGGUCGCCUCCUAAAAGGUAACGGAGGCGCUCAAAGGUUCCCUCAGAAUGGUUGGAAAUCAUUCAUAGAGUGUAAAGGCAUAAGGGAGCUUGACUGCGAGACCUACAAGUCGAGCAGGGUCGAAAGACGGACUUAGUGAUCCGGUGGUUCCGCAUGGAAGGGCCAUCGCUCAACGGAUAAAAGCUACCCCGGGGAUAACAGGCUUAUCUCCCCCAAGAGUUCACAUCGACGGGGAGGUUUGGCACCUCGAUGUCGGCUCA
RNAcentral lists this ribosomal RNA (444 nucleotides) under Escherichia coli. RNAcentral describes it as "partial 23S ribosomal RNA". It matches the Rfam family "Bacterial large subunit ribosomal RNA", at positions 2096 to 2539 of the family's 2925-position model. Lineage: Bacteria; Pseudomonadati; Pseudomonadota; Gammaproteobacteria; Enterobacterales; Enterobacteriaceae. The record is from RNAcentral.